CUCCAACCCUGUGGCCCCAGAGAUCCGGGCCCCAUAUGUUGAAGUGACAGGGGAUCAAAUUAUUCUCCUUGACCCACCACAAGUGCACAUUGAGGAUGCAGCCGGGACCCAAGUCGACCCAGGAGAAGGCCCAAGCCAACAGCCACAUGAUGAUGAUGAUGACUAUGACGAU
Long non-coding RNA from Sander lucioperca (pikeperch), 172 nucleotides. RefSeq lists it as uncharacterized. NCBI's taxonomy places the organism in Eukaryota, Metazoa, Chordata, Actinopteri, Perciformes, Percidae. The transcript is spliced from 3 exons. The record is from RefSeq and is a predicted model, not a curated record.